GCGGAGCGGCCUUACCUGAACCUGUCUGUUGCAGGAGUGGCUUCCAUGUUAAAUUCCGCCACCGGCACUCCUCUGGAGGACACCUGGGGGGCGAACAUGGCGGCAGGGUACACCACGGAGGAGGUUCCCACCUGCAAAGCCAGCAGCAAAUGAUAAAGCAGGAAAAGAAGACAAAACAUCCGAUUGUAUUGGUCAGUGAUGCGGAAUGUACACGGCAAGUAAAUAAAUAACCCCACAGAAGCAGCCCCUGACGAUGCCGACUGCCAUCCCACAAAGCAACACAAACAUCCUCACCACCAAGCAGAGGUCGCAUAGUUCGAGUUCCUUCUCCACCUCUGUGAGAACGUCUGGAUCCAGGGCUUCACCAAACCAUACAACGUGGGGACGAAGAAGACCAUGACAGCCAUCUUCCUCGCACCUAUUGAAAAAAUGUAGAGGUACAGCAUUAUAUUUCUGACAUGAACACCUCCACCUGCAUAGUGGCAAAGCAGCUCUCAUUAGGCUUCCUUCUUUCACUGCUCACAUUCACAGCACUCCUUAUGCUCUCCUGAGCACAGGUUGUUGAACAGUCAUUCAAUUCAGAAUCAUAAUUGCUGUGUCUUACUCAGCUCCUGAAAUGCAUGAAACUCCCAAGAACUUGAUAUGUGUCACAAUUCCUACUGACUUCAACAGAAACAGUCCAGCAGGUUUUUAAGAAGAAAGUGGGAUGGGCAGAAGCCCCACAGCAGCCCCACAGCAGCCCCGUUUCCUUAGGAACAAGAUAAAAAACGCAGUAGCUCCUUGCACCUGCAGCUAACCAAGGUAAAGCUUUAGCCACUACAGAAAGCACCCUGGCUUAUUUAGAGCCUGCAGGAAACUUCUCUGUGGCUGCGCACCAUCACCCUAUCACAUGCUGACCAACGGUAGAAAAGCAGAACAGUAGAAAAGUAACAGCUUACUGUGCAGUAGUUUCUUAGUGCAAUUCUACUGCUCACUACCAAACCCACAAGUUUUGGCAUGUUUUGAGUUUGAUGCUCAAGAACACAAACAUGCAGUUCCUUUAGCACUGUGAUAAACUUGUACAUACUCCUACUGUCUGGUGCCUCCCAAGCACUAAGUUUAGAUAUCAACUCUCUUCCCAGGUGUUCUGCUCCUGCUGAAUGUGUACGUGUCCUUCCAAAACUACAGAAACAGUCAUAAAAGAAUUGAGAUAUAUGAAAUUUUAAAAAGCUAGCAGCAAAAAAAAUAAAGAAGUUGAUACGUACUGAGGAAGUUCUUCAACUGGAAUUGUGGCAUCUUCUGUUUCUGGAUCUGGAGCCCUGAAUUUACAAAAUUGAAAUAUAUAUUCAAACAUACAGAUGAAGUGCAUUUUACAGACUGCCAAAAACUUCGUAUUUUAUCCAGUCAAGAAUCUUUGCAACUUCAGUCAACUCUACUAAAGGCCCACCUUGGCACACACAGGGCAAGCUGGCUUCUAUACAGUAUUAUCUCAGAGCUAAGCAACAGCAAUUAGCUUGUCAAAGUCUGACAAAGACACAGUAAGUAUUUAUGAAGCUAUCUAAAGAUCUGGGACUAAAACUUUUAUAAGCACAUGCCUGUCUUCUCCUCCCUUUUAUUUUUUUUUUCUUCCUUCAACACUGCAAGGAAAAAAAAAAAGAUGGCUAGAAGGAGGCCAAAGGGCUCUUCUGCAACUUGAAAAGAAAUCCUGGAAACUGAUUUUCCUGCAUUUCAAGACUUGUAAUGAGAGUCUCAAUGAUGAGUUGAAGCACAAGAGUAAUGAGGCACACAGGAGAUUCAGAACCCAAAUCCUGAAUAUUAUUAAAGAACAAUAAAGUGCUUGGCUAGAACUCCUCUAUGCUCCUGUAACAGCUCCUUUCCUACUGAAGAGCAGACUAAGCAGAAAAUAUUGGGAGUUUGCAAGGCAGAUGGAUUACCCUUUCCCAGCCAACGCCGGGCAGAUUGGACUCUUGUAAUUCGCAGUCACAUUUCCACAGUUGGUGCAUCGAGUUUUAAAUAAGCUUCCUGAAAUGCAGAAAGAGGAAACGUUACGGAUCAAGUAAUUGUUCUAGGGCACGACUGUACAAGCAAAUGGUUAUGUUUAUCCCAGACAGCUUUUAUUUGACUUGUGGGUUGACAGCUACAUGAACACGUAAAUUGGGUAUUGAAACUUGCCAUCAUUAUGGUUGAGAUGUUAUUUACAGAGUGCAUCUAUACGUUUGUUUAGCAACCAAACACAGCCAGGGUCAGAGUUAAGCACAGCACAGCACAAGCAGAGCCAGAAGCACCCUUUUACCUAAACGGCCACAGUGAACAGCAGCAGCCUUUGAGCUACGCUUUAUGACCUUCUACCUUAUAUAAUUAAUACGCAGCUUCAUAGCAGUUAUUUCAAAGGAAAAAAUCACUAAAAGUGUUACCAAAUGAGAUCAUUUCUGCUUGUGGUUAGCCCCACUUUGUUUUAUGCAAACUCCCCAACUGCAAGAUGCACAUCUCUGAACUUCCAUAGAGCUAAUACCACGCGCUGUGGAGACGCCCAUCAGUUUAAAUUGUUUAGAUUUUGUGAAGAAUAAAACUAUACCCAUGGCUUUA
Molecule: long non-coding RNA, 2565 nt
Organism: Meleagris gallopavo (turkey)
Lineage: Eukaryota; Metazoa; Chordata; Aves; Galliformes; Phasianidae
Source: RefSeq, a predicted model, not a curated record